Molecule: ribosomal RNA, 535 nt
Filed under: uncultured Bacillus sp.
Lineage: Bacteria; Bacillati; Bacillota; Bacilli; Caryophanales; Bacillaceae
Description: bacterial SSU rRNA
Rfam family: Bacterial small subunit ribosomal RNA
Source: RNAcentral
CUCUGACAACCCUAGAGAUAGGCUCUCUUCGGGAGCAGAGUGACAGGUGGUGCAUGGUGUCGUCAGCUCGUGUCGUGAGAUGUUGGGUUAAGUCCCGCAAACGAGCGCAACCCUUGAUCUUAGUUGCCAUCAUUAAGUUGGGCACUCUAAGGUGACUGCCGGUGACAAACCGGAGGAAGGUGGGGAUGACGUCAAAUCAUCAUGCCCCUUAUGACCUGGGCUACACACGUGCUACAAUGGACGGUACAAAGAGCUGCAAGACCGCGAGGUGGAGCUAAUCUCAUAAAACCGUUCUCAGUUCGGAUUGUAGGCUGCAACUCGCCUACAUGAAGCUGGAAUCGCUAGUAAUCGCGGAUCAGCAUGCCGCGGUGAAUACGUUCCCGGGCCUUGUACACACCGCCCGUCACACCACGAGAGUUUGUAACACCCGAAGUCGGUGGGGUAACCUUUUGGAGCCAGCCGCCUAAGGUGGGACAGAUGAUUGGGGUGAAGUCGAGGACGAAGGUAACCUAAUCUAGAUGCAUUCGCGGAGGUA